Small nucleolar RNA from Meriones unguiculatus (Mongolian gerbil), 62 nucleotides. The record is from Ensembl. NCBI's taxonomy places the organism in Eukaryota, Metazoa, Chordata, Mammalia, Rodentia, Muridae.
GAGAGGCUAUGUCUACACUCAGUGUUUUGACCUGUGAACAUCUGAAUGAUUAGUAGCCUAAC